GCCGGGUAUGGUGGCACACGCCUGUAAUCCCAGCUACUUGGGAGGCUGAGGCAGGAGAAUCACUUGAACCCAGGAGGCUGAGGUUGUAGUGAGCUGAGAUCGAGCCACUGCACUCCAGCCUGGGCGACAGAGUGAGACUCUGACUCAA
This 148-nucleotide non-coding RNA is filed under the name Pan troglodytes (chimpanzee). The record is from Rfam by way of RNAcentral. Lineage: Eukaryota; Metazoa; Chordata; Mammalia; Primates; Hominidae.